CUUAAACAUAGACUGUAAGCAGCGUUAUUUUGACCCUUGGUGCAUCCAGUAGUCUCUGCCGUGUGAGCUCACUUUAUCGCCAGACUGCACCGAGGAAGAACAGAGAGAAGCAGGAAGCGGGACGCAGUUGGAAAAACGAGAUCACACGGGCCCAGAAGCGGGUGUUAAGUGUAAAGACACCAUCACUCGGGAUUUUUGAAUGCCGUCAUUUACCGAAGGAUUUUUUCCCCCUGGAAACUCCGGCUGGUUUUUGAGACCCUGGAUUGUAGCUUAGAGGUCAACUCUUCGCUGGAUGCAGAUGGCAGCGAGUCCCAGAGAAGAUGCACCCUGUAUGAUGAGAUCAGACCGCGGUGUGGCCAGCUGCUUCAGAUCCCAUUCAACAGGACUGACACAUCAGAUUACAGGAUACUGGCAGAUAAGAAAGAUCCCCCACACGUUCAUUAUCCUGCCCAGGUAGAGAUACAAAUAACUGAAAUUCACUGGACACUUUUUAAAAUUGUAUUUUUUAUGAAAUAGCUCUUCUUAUUCUGGGGUUUAAUCACACACAGUGUAUUUCGUACCCCAGCACUACUUCUCAGAACGUAGGUUGGUAAGUUAGCUUAAGUGCUACGCUAGUGUUAAAUAUUCUAGACCUGUCUUUAUCAUUCAAAAACUACACUACAGGGCUUUCCCCAGUACAUUGAACUAUGAUGCUAAGGGACUCCCAAGUGUGUUAUAAAGUGACAACAAAGGGUCUUGACCAUUGGUCCAUAUGUGAAGACUUGGGAGUGAGAACGGGUUGGGUUGUAGAUGGUUCAUUUUAUAUCAACAGUUGUACAGUUUAUGCAGUAAUAGUCUCUCGUGUUGUUGUGUUUUUUUGUGAAUGAAUGGGUGAAAGGCAUUUUGUAAUAAAUAAUAUGUUCUGUA
Long non-coding RNA from Micropterus dolomieu (smallmouth bass), 906 nucleotides. RefSeq lists it as uncharacterized. The transcript has 2 exons. NCBI's taxonomy places the organism in Eukaryota, Metazoa, Chordata, Actinopteri, Centrarchiformes, Centrarchidae. The record is from RefSeq and is a predicted model, not a curated record.